UACGGGGGGGGGCAAGCGUUGUUCGGAAUUACUGGCGUAAAGCGUGCGCAGGCGGUGAUGUAAGACAGUUGUGAAAUCCCCGGGCUCAACCUGGGAAUUGCAUCUGUGGCUGCAUCGCUAGAGUACGGUAGAGGGGGGAUGGAAUUCCGGCGUGUAGCAGUGAAAUGCGUAGAUAAUGCGGAGGAACACCGAUGGCGAAGGACAAUCCCCUGGACCUGUACUCGAC
Molecule: ribosomal RNA, 226 nt
Filed under: uncultured bacterium
Lineage: Bacteria
Description: partial 16S ribosomal RNA
Rfam family: Bacterial small subunit ribosomal RNA
Source: RNAcentral